CUCAGGAAGGAGAACUGAGAGCCUUUUUCUAAGUGGUGCCUGCUUUGUUUAAGGGGUAAGUUCGCAGCGCUGCGGCAGGGCCUGGCAGCCAGGGACCUUGGCAGAAGCUACAAUAAGAAUGUGGGGCUUUUAAAACUCUGGUCCUCUUGGAUGCCUCCAGUCCAGGCAUAGCUGACUGGGAAGUCAGUACUCUCUCCACACUGCAGUUAAAUGACCGACCUGAGGAUAAUUGGGGUCAUUUGUCACACAAAUGACAAAUGUGAGAGCAAGAAGAGGCUGGAGCAGAAAGUUGGUCAACCUGCAUGCAGAUGAGGUUUCCUGUGACCGCCCCAACCUGCCAAGGACAGUAUGAGCCCAUGGGCAUCACCGGCAGGAUGGACCUCAUGUCCUCCACAGCCAGCACACAAGCGAAUUGUGGCUUCCUGGCCACUGGGCUAGCAUGGGCAACCCCCAGGGACCUCUGUUCCUGUGGGACCUGAAAACUGUAAAUGUGGGCAGGAUAGAUUCUUCUCCUGCUCUUCCACAGCUGCAAAGGCCCCUCCUUGUCACAUAAGCACUUAAUUAACAUAAUGAGCAGCUACUGAGUUGAUUGUUAUCAUCAUCUGCCUCUUUGUUAGAAGUGGAGCCAUGCUGGGGCCCAACCAGGAGCCGGCCAGGCAGACCCAGGCAGGAGAGAACACAUGGAGGUGAGUAACCACUGCAGGCUGGCACUCAAUGAGGCAGGUGUCUCUUCUCUGGCCUAGGGCGGGGCAAAGGAGGAGGUGGCGUGCUUUGCUCAUCCUGCAGAGCAAGGCUCCCUAGCCACCAAUCCCCCACUAGUCAGAUGCAUUCUACUGGGAACACAGCUAAUCGGAUGCUCAGAAAGACCAAGGUUUAUGUUAUAUCUACUCUUUCCACAGUUUACUGUCCAUGAAUGUUCCAAGCUCCACCACUGGAAGUGACUCUCCACAGAGUUCAGUAAGAGAGAGAGAGACACCAUAGAAAUCUGAAGAUGGCUUUGCCCUUCGACUCUGCAAUCUGCUCGCUACUCUCAGGAGGGACUGGAGCAGAACCCUGGCUGUCCGGGACAUUCCUGUUUUUCUCAAGAUGCUGCAUGCCUGGCACAUUCGGGUUAUUUGUGAGAACUACAAGUGAGAAAGAGGGAGAACAGUCUGUGUUUUCGUCCCUCUUGCCAUGUUUCGCCCUCUCAAUCACUCUCUUGGGCAUAACAAGUCCUGGAAGUGCAGAUGUUGCUGACGGGGAUUUGUGCGGAUCAAUGAGGCGCACCAACCUGAGGCCUGGAGACCUGAAGCCUGUGGAGGGGACGGGUUAUUACAGCCUGUAGGCCAAGACCCGAUAUCUGGAGGUUAUUGGGAUCCACUCACAGCAAAGAUGGACCACAGCACCCUCGCCCUAGGGAGGAAAGUCCUCUCCCUGGCAGGGUUCCACUGGAGUGAGGUUUGGACCAGGAGAAGGGGUGGGUGAGGAUAUUCAACAGGGGAAAGGAUGCCCCAUGACCAUCUGAGGUGAGCUCUGACAUGGAAUGAUGGUUGGCUAAAGGACAAAUGAAGAUAAAUGUCUUAGGGAAUCUCGGGAUUAAUGUGAGACCUAGUAAUAGCCUUGACCAAAACACUCCUGUUUUCCCAAGGAUUCUCCCAUUCCACAGUUUUUAUUUAAUUAUAAGUAAGACAGGCUGAGCAGAGUGGCUCAUGCCUGUAAUCCCAGCACUUUGGGAGGCAGAGGCAGGAGGAUCACUUGAGGUCGGGGGUUUGAGAACAGCCUGGCCAACAUGGUGAAACCCCAUCUGUACUAAAAAUUCAAAAAUUAGCUAAGUGUGGUGGUGAGUGCCUGUAAUCCCAGUUACUCAUUGGGAUGCUGAGGCAGGAGAAUCACUUGAACCCGGGAGGUGGAGGUUGCAGUGAGCUGAGAUCGCACCACUGCACUCCAGCCUGGGCGACAGAGGGAGACUCUGUCUCGAAAAACACAUAAAUAUUAUAAUAUAAUAUCGACAGACUUAGCCCCUACUAUGUGUCAGAAACUGUGCAGUGCACUGGAAUCCAGCAGGACACAUAACAGACAAAAUCCCCACACUCUCAGAUCUUACACAUAGGGUGGGGGAUGAACGAAUAAACCCCGACACUGUCCUGUGGGGAUAAAGGAUUUGGGAGAAAACAAAGCCAGGCAAAAGCAAGGAGAAUG
This is a long non-coding RNA of Callithrix jacchus (white-tufted-ear marmoset), 2178 nucleotides long. Lineage: Eukaryota; Metazoa; Chordata; Mammalia; Primates; Cebidae. The record is from Ensembl.